CUUAAAAACUUCUAAGGAAGGAGAUUCUACCACCUCCCUAGGUAACGCAGUCCAGUGUUUCUCCACCCUCCUAGUGAAAAAGUUUUUCCUAAUAUCCAACCUAAACCUCCCCCACUGCAACUUGAGACCAUUACUCCUUGUCCUGUCCUCUUCUACCACUGAGAAUAGUCUAGAACCAUCCUCUCUGGAACCACCUCUCAGGCCAGGUCUACUCUACAAACGGACACGGGUACAACUACAUCACUCAGAAAAUCCACCCUCUGGAGCGACGCAGAUACAGUUUGACCAGCCAGUGAGGACCAGUCUGCUACCAACCUGGAAUGCUGCUGGCUGUGGAGAUCCCCAGACUGUCAAGGGGGGUCAGAAGUGCUUUGAAAGGGCUGAGAAGCUGCCGUUCUUCUCAAGCUGUGAAGGGUCCAGGUGACUUGAGUCCAGAGCGCCAAAUGUGCGGGAGGUCAGAUUAGAUGAUCAUGAUGGUCCCUUCUGACCUUCAAGUCUAUGAAUCAGUGAGACACACACAGCACAUACGACGGCCACACUACAAUGACUGAGAAAUCAUCUCUGCGAGACGAUCAGAGGGGACUGUGUUCUGAUGUGCGUGCUCGAGAACAGGAAGGUCGAUAUCAUGUGGGAACUUUAUCUUUGAAUAUCUGUAAUAGCAACAAAAUGGGGACAUCUAUAUACGGAAUGCCUGCAGAUUUACUGCCCAACUGCUUGUCUUUAAAUGAUAUUCACAGUAUUCCAAAUCCUAUCUACAAUGGGUUGUCCCAUUUAUAAUCAUUUCUGUGUGCAUGGAAUGUCUAUUUCCCAGGUCACUCUGUGGGACUCUCUCUUCAAAGCCCACUGGGCAAUAUUACCAGCUACUUAACAGGGUUUUACAUACCUACAACAGCCCUGAAGUUUAACUCUGUGUCCAGCCUUAUGGAAAGAGCUCCAGCCUGGGUUUCACCAGAGCGUGAAGCUGAGGUGCAGGAAGAAAGGGAGCAUAAUAGAGUUAUACGUAAUAUUGUGUGAGCGACCCCAGACCUCAUUAUGCCAGUGGGGCCGUUUACCUUUCUGGGUUGGUUUUUAUUCCACUUUGUGUGGCCCUGGCUGGCAAUGAAGUCAUCGUAAACCAGGUAGUACAAACUCUUCCUCAGAGGUGCACUGUAUGUUUGUACAAAUGAUUCAAGGGUACGUCCACACUGCCGGGCCUGGCUCAGCUGACGGGGGCUGACAGGGCUCAGGUUGUGGGGCUAUAAAAUUGCAGUGCAGACGUUCGGGCUGGGGCUGGAGCCCCAGGGGAGAGAGUCUCAGAUCUCAGGCUCUGAUUCAAGACCAAAUGUCUACACAGUUCAUUUUAGCCCCGAAGCCCAGGCCUGACUCAGCUAACCCAGGCUCUGACUCAAUGCCGCAGGGUUUUUUUAUCUCAGUGUAGAUGUAACCCAAGCUGCAUCCCCAGCUGGUGUAAAUUGGCCAUAGCUCCAUUGGAACCUGUGGGGCCAGAUCCCCAGCUGGUGAGAAUCAGAGGGGAGGAUCUGACCCAUGGGACUUGCAACACACACACAUUUUGCAGGCAGUGCCCAGUUGGGAGCGGGGAUGUGAAAAUUCACUCCUAACACAGCCCCGCAAGAGGCAGGGAUGAAUCAGCCAGGCGGAGCUGAUCAUUCCCACUAAAAUCUCCAGCCGGCUGCUCAGGGGGCUAGGACAGUUUAACCAGAGUGAGGGGACAUGGAUCUCAGUGACUUGGGCUCUGGGUGGAACUUGCUCUGCAGGUUUCUAUAGUUAAAGGGCAUAGAGGAGGCAUUGCUGGGUCCUGCUUGAUGAGACGGUGAAAAGUGAGUGUGCAGGGAAGGGGCUCAUUAGCUGUUGUCUCCAGGGAGCUGGUGCUCAGAUGGAGGAUGGCGUAACUUUACAAACGGCCACCAUCACAAUUUGCUACCUGUCACAGUUAUUGACAUCUACUGGGUGUUCUUUUCUGCUGCUCUGUGACAACGUGCUGCCCCGCCCGAUGUAUCAAAAUGUGAUGGAUGGGGGUUGCCUGUCACAAUUUCCACAAUGUGCUACCAUGGAGAAAGCUCUGUUGGCAAUUUGGACACAAGGAAAGAAAGGGAGUGUUGUCAUUUGGAAAAGCACUUCUAAACAGUUAAAAUGCAAGGCUAUGCAAACCA
This is a long non-coding RNA of Caretta caretta (loggerhead turtle), 2150 nucleotides long. RefSeq lists it as uncharacterized. Lineage: Eukaryota; Metazoa; Chordata; Testudines; Cheloniidae. The record is from RefSeq and is a predicted model, not a curated record.